GGAUCGGGCGGUUCCCCCUUCGGGGGGACAGGGUGACAGGUGGUGCAUGGUUGUCGUCAGCUCGUGUCGUGAGAUGUUGGGUUAAGUCCCGCAACGAGCGCAACCCUCGACCUUAGUUGCCAGCAUUCAGUUGGGCACUCUAAGGUGACUGCCGGCUAAAAGUCGGAGGAAGGUGGGGAUGACGUCAAAUCAUCAUGCCCCUUAUGACCUGGGCUACACACGUGCUACAAUGGGCGGUACAAAGGGUCGCGAACCCGCGAGGGGGAGCCAAUCCCAAAAAGCCGCUCUCAGUUCGGAUUGCAGGCUGCAACUCGCCUGCAUGAAGCCGGAAUCGCUAGUAAUCGCGGAUCAGCAUGCCGCGGUGAAUACGUUCCCGGGCCUU
This 382-nucleotide ribosomal RNA is filed under the name uncultured Anoxybacillus sp. Its description in RNAcentral is "bacterial SSU rRNA". It matches the Rfam family "Bacterial small subunit ribosomal RNA", at positions 1003 to 1382 of the family's 1533-position model. The record is from RNAcentral. Lineage: Bacteria; Bacillati; Bacillota; Bacilli; Caryophanales; Anoxybacillaceae.